AGUAUUUCAUAAAAAAGGAGCUAUUCAUUUCAGGCAAAUGUCAAGGUGCAGCUAAGGACCUAGAUAAAUAUCCUCUGUCUUGGUGAGAAAUGGGUCUCGGUAGAAACCCCUGAGUGCAGCUGACUGCCUUCACUAAAGUUCAGCCACUGGUAGCCGUAAGGCUAGCCUUGUGCACUGGGUACAUCAUCCUGCAGUACAAUUACAGUGAUUAAACUUUUCUCCCUGUCAAUGGGAGGCAGAGAAAAGGAGGCUCUAAGCAGAUGGAAAUUUCCUUAAUCCCGUUAACUGAAGCUCCGUCUUUUUCUCAAAAACAAUGACCUUCCCAGUGGGAUUUUCUGAAGUAAAGCAUCUCAAAGCUUGUUUGUGUAUUUUUUUUUUCCCAAUUCCUUCCCACAAAAUAAAGCUGAACGGCCAUGCAUGGAGACAGGCAGGGCAGGGGCUGCCCAGCCAGCUGGACAGGAGGCACGCCAGGAAGUCCAGUAAAUGCUUCUAAGCUGAGUUAAGGUAGUGCCUGGUUCCUGAAUCAUUUGUGGUGCACCUGCCAAAGAAAAUGUUAAAUGGAUAGAUGUGAUAACUAAUGCUCAGAGUAUAUCAAAUAUAUCCCUUCUACAGUAUACAUGACCUUCACAUUCUGUACACGAGUAUUUGCUCCAUCCAGUUACCAGAGAUAUUUAAAUUUAGAAAGAAAGUAUCCUUCAAGCUGGAGGGCAUUCAUGGAGCACCCAGAGGUGUUGGAACAUUCAGUGAGUGGCUGCAAAUAUUCCUUGGGAAGCAGUACAGGGUUUGGUGUAAGAUUAAAAUGAGUAAGCCAUCAGGUACGUGGUGUGUCAGCAUGGUGGAAAACACCUGCUCUUGUUCAGAUCAGGCAGAGGCAGUGAGCAGAGCUGAGGUGAAGGGUCUGGGAAGUUUGCUGUCUUUUCUAGCAGCAGCUGAUCCCUGUGUCAGUGGCAGCAGCAGUUUGUUGCUCGCAGGACUCUGCUUCAAUAGGCAGCUAUGUGUUUUUCCUUUCUCAGAGCCCGUCCUGCCCACAGCAGUCUUCAAAGGGUUCAGAAUCCCAGACACAAAAGCAAUUUAAUAGUGGGUCAUCCCUCACCUCCUGACACUUGCACCUCUUGAGAAACCUCAAUGUCUUCCUGAGUAAUUGCAAUACAAGUCCCUCCCAGCCAGUGGUAUUUAGAAUAAAUUAUGAUGCCUGGCCUUAUUAACUCA
RNAcentral lists this long non-coding RNA (1209 nucleotides) under Anser brachyrhynchus (Pink-footed goose). RNAcentral describes it as "lncRNA (ENSABRG00000016431.1)". The record is from RNAcentral. Lineage: Eukaryota; Metazoa; Chordata; Aves; Anseriformes; Anatidae.